This 73-nucleotide transfer RNA is filed under the name Allobosea sp. RAC05. RNAcentral's name for it is "Bosea sp. RAC05 tRNA". It matches the Rfam family "tRNA". Rfam says of the family: Transfer RNA (tRNA) molecules are approximately 80 nucleotides in length. The record is from Rfam by way of RNAcentral. Lineage: Bacteria; Pseudomonadati; Pseudomonadota; Alphaproteobacteria; Hyphomicrobiales; Alloboseaceae.
UUCGGUUUAGCUCAGUCGGUAGAGCACUCGACUGUUAAUCGAGUUGUCCCAGGUUCGAGCCCUGGAACCGGAG